UNUGACUUGAGUGCAGAAGGGGAGAGUGGAAUUCCAUGUGUAGCGGUGAAAUGCGUAGAUAUAUGGAGGANCACCAGUGGCGAAAGCGGCUCUCUGGUCUGUCACUGACGCUGAGGCUCGAAAGCGUGGGUAGCGAACAGGAUUAGAUACCCUGGUAGUNCACGCCGUAAACGAUGAGUGCUAGGUGUUAGGCCCUUUCCGGGGCUUAGUGCCGGAGCUAACGCAAUAAGCACUCCGCCUGGGGAGUACGACCGCAAGGUUGAAACUCAAAGGAAUUGACGGGGGCCCGCACAAGCGGUGGAGCAUGUGGUUUAAUUCGAAGCAACGCGAAGAACCUUACCAGGUCUUGACAUCCCGAUGCUAUUCUUAGAGAUAGGAAGUUACUUCGGUACAUCGGAGACAGGUGGUGCAUGGUUGUCGCCAGCUCGUGUCGUGAGAUGUUGGGUUAAGUCCCGCAACGAGCGCAACCCUUAUUGUUAGUUGCCAUCAUUAAGUUGGGCACUCUAGCGAGACUGCCGGUAAUAAACCGGAGGAAGGUGGGGAUGACGUCAAAUCAUCAUGCCCCUUAUGACCUGGGCUACACACGUGCUACAAUGGUCGGUACAACGAGUUGCGAGCCGGUGACGGCAAGCUAAUCUCUGAAAGCCGAUCUCAGUUCGGAUUGGAGGCUGCAACUCGCCUCCAUGAAGUCGGAAUCGCUAGUAAUCGCGGAUCAGCACGCCGCGGUGAAUACGUUCCCGGGCCUUGUACACACCGCCCGUCACACCACGAGAGUUUGUAACACCCGAAGUCGGUGAGGUAACCUUUUAGGGNCCA
This 816-nucleotide ribosomal RNA is filed under the name uncultured bacterium. RNAcentral's name for it is "bacterial SSU rRNA". It matches the Rfam family "Bacterial small subunit ribosomal RNA", at positions 636 to 1451 of the family's 1533-position model. The record is from RNAcentral.